CCUACGGGUGGCAGCAGUAGGGAAUCUUCCACAAUGGGCGAAAGCCUGAUGGAGCAACGCCGCGUGGGUGAAGAAGGUCUUCGGAUCGUAAAACCCUGUUGUUAGAGAAGAACGUGCGUGAGAGUAACUGUUCACGUUUCGACGGUAUCUAACCAGAAAGCCACGGCUAACUACGUGCCAGCAGCCGCGGUAAUACGUAGGUGGCGAGCGUUAACCGGAUUUAUUGGGUGUAAAGGGCGCGCAGGCGGGCUUUUAAGUCUGAUGUGAAAGUCUUGGGCUUAACCGGAGUAGUGCAUUGGAAACUGGUAGACUUGAGUGCAGAAGAGGCGAGUGGAACUCCAAGUGUAGCGGGGAAAUGCGUAGAUAUAUGGAAGAACACCAGUGGCGAAGGCGGCUCUCUGGACUAUAACUGACGCUGAGGUGCGAAAGCGUGGGGAGCAAACAGGAUUAGAUACCCCAGUAGUC
RNAcentral lists this ribosomal RNA (465 nucleotides) under uncultured bacterium. RNAcentral describes it as "partial 16S ribosomal RNA". It matches the Rfam family "Bacterial small subunit ribosomal RNA", at positions 338 to 795 of the family's 1533-position model. The record is from RNAcentral.